CCCCCCCCAACGCACCUACAGACACACUCACACACUGUUUUGUAAAGGUGAACCACCAAGUGUUCAAUGUGACGAGGCACAUUGACAAUAGAGACGGAUCAGAGUGGACUGCCUUGAUUCAAAAUAGAGACAUUAACAUUAAUAUACAGGUAGAAUCAUGUUCAUGUUAUAAUGUACAUAAGGAAUAUUAUUGAAUGUCGUUUCUGCUAUGCAUGUUUAGUUAUGUGUGUGUGUGUAGUAUUAGUAGUAGUAUUCACAGUGUGUAGCACUCCAGGUUGUGUGGGUACCAGCCCAAACCAGACAGUUGAAGCAGGCUCUAACGUCCAUCUGUCCUGCCUCCUCACUCAGUGUCUGAGAAGUCUGGGACAUCACCAUCUCCAUGUGGAGUCGGAGAUCACUAACAAGGGCUGGCUGGAUAAAGAGCUGCACCCUCUCAUCUACCAUUACCAAGACCGGACUGUGCCUGUUGAAGCCAGAGUGAUUCUGGUCAGGGACAUCUCUGAAUGUGACUUCUCCGUCCUGCUGCUGUCAGUGACAGUCCAAGACAGUGGCACUUACAUGUAUCGCCUGUGUCCUCCACCCAGCAAUCCAGACAUCCAUGAGAGUCACACACAGCUCAGAGUGGUGGAGAGAUCAGAUGCAUUCUUUAUUUUCAAAAGAUAAAAUAUUUACUGUACUCACCGUAAUUAAAUAGAAGGGAAAUAUAUGAUAUAAAAUGUAUAAAAAUCAAUGCGUAUCUGCCAAAAAGGAGUCAGGCUAUUUAAAACGAAAUGACAGAUUAUCUUUUGUCUUUACAUCUUAAUUUCCCAGGGCGCCACAGGAGUUCCCCAGGAGAUUUCCAUAAACCUGAUGUUACCCAUCCUGAUUGGCUGUUGCCUCUGGCGUGUGCUGGUUUUGCUGUGCCUGGUGGACUGAGUCACACCGGGAAUGUGGGCGUGUCGUAGGAGGUCACAGCGGUGAGACGAUGCAGAGAGAGACCAGCAUGAGAGAAAGAAGAAGACAGGGAGAGAGUAUAGUCAGGAAACACACACAAGAUAUGCCUAUUUCAGAGGCACAGAAAAUAGGACAAAGGUAAUGAAAGGCUAUAAUAAAACGAAUGAAAAACAAACAAUCAGUAAAGAGUUUGUUUAAAGCUCUGCUUCAGUGCUAAGUCUUAGGCAUUUCACAUGUUGAACGGUUGGGAAUGUGGUUCUCUGAGAGUGGAAGAUUCUUUGAAAUCAAUUAUCCAGCGAAUGAGCAGUGUCUUUCAUAUAAUUGUUAUGAUGUUGAUGGAUGUUGAUGGAUGUUGAUGGAUGUUGCCGGCGCAACGCUGAUGAUGAUGAAGAUAGGUAUGAAAAUGAUGACACAAUUACCACGAUGAAAAAGAGGAGAUGGUGGUGAUGAUGACGAGAAAGAGGAAAUGGUGAUGACGCAAGAGUUGAUGUCAAAGAGCAAGAUGACUCCAACAACAACAACGAUCCCUUUCCCUGCUCACAAAAACGACUUCAGAUGCUAGGACUUGAAACGUUGUUAUGAGCCAGACUCUGAAACACAAUCGAUAAGCCAGCCUCCAUUUCUCAACCCUGAUAUCCUUUGAGAGGGUUAGAGGAUGUGUCUGGCACAUUCCCUUUUGUCUUGUAUAAUAUAUCAAUCUGUUAUGUUUGUAGGAAGGGUGGCUGUGACACGAACACUCUGAUGUCAUUCCCAGACUUCCCUCUUCUGCAGGUCCAGGAGGACCUGGCCUUGAUGUCAGUGAUCCUCCACAGAAACGAGGGAAAGAUGGCUCACGCCAGCAUCCAGCCGGACUAGGAGGCCAGGAGGCAACUGAAUUCUCCCCAUCCAGGAGACUGUUCAUAAAGUAGCUACAGAUUGUACACCAGAUAAUGUGAUAUAACCAAAGAUUUUUGGUAUCCAUUACUGGGCAUUAAUGGUUUGCCUAUACAAAACUUGCCAUAGAUUAUUCAACUAACCUAUUAUUGGCGAUACUAUCUUCAUUCUCGAUUCGGCCGAAAAUGUAUCUUCUGAAAUGUCAGUGUCCAACUGCAGGUGGUUCGUUUGAAUUGAAUACUACGUCUGGCAGAAAUGAGCGUUUGAUAUAGUGUCUCACAUUACGACCGCCAAAAGGACCAAGCUCACGGACAACCGGUAAAGUACGUUAAAAUAUAAUUAUAUUCAACAUUCUUGCUUGUAGAGGUUGUGAGAGGAAACUUUCCUGAUUCAAUGCAAUUCAGCAUUGGUUUACAGGCGUAGACAUGGUAGACUAUCAUAUAUCUUGCCCAAAGCGCCAAAGCUCUUUGAAAGUUUCAUCCUCAGAUUUGUCGCCUUAACAGGAUUUCUAAAGUCUGACGGAGGACUUGAGACAGACACCUUGCAAAUUACAAAGAAAAACGAACCGCAGUGCUUGGAUCCAAUUGGUUAAACUGCUCUAGGGAGUGGGAGAAAAUCCCACAAUCCUACAAGCUCUAUCUCCCGCUGGGCUGAACAUCCACACCUGCUCUCAUACAUCAAACAGAUACAGUAUCAGUGGUCCUCCUCCGAGGCCUUUUCAAGGUGCAGGGGAGUACUUAAGCCAUUUGCCGAUCCAUCUUUUCCCUCAGUACAGGGUCAACCAGUGCACCCACCCAGCCCGGCCCCUCACAACGAGGCUGGAAGUAGUACUACUACUACCACCCUCUCACUCGCUACAAAUACAUGGCUACCUCACUUCCAACCAACAAAGCACAUGGGGCCUGAGCUCUCAACCAAAAAACAGCAAGCAGCUUAAACCACUGCAGUUUGAAGCAUAACUAUUCAUCCGAGAACAGGCCGAGUCCAAAACCGAUGGAUGAUAUGCAUGUGAACAACUUUUCUUUUACAAUCCUCUCGUAAUCUAGGGUUCAUUCGGGAAGUUGUACAUCAACUUUACCAAAGGGUAUGGGCAAGGGAUAUUGCAGUUUGUGCAGCUGUCAUUACUACCAGUUGUUGCACGAGUGUAGAUUGCUGAAGUGUGGAAACGUAUUCUAAAAUAAAUCUGUGAGUCUCUGAAAUCCAACCGAGCAGAAAGCCGUGCAUGUGCCAAUAAACGCGAAAAGACUGAGUAUAAUCCGAUGCAGACACUGCAGAGUAGAGGUGGGCUCAUUGUACCAAUAAGCUGCAAAAUAAUCCCUUGACAGUGCCUCACAGCGAGCCUAUAAGCCCCUGUGUUUUGUGCAUGUACAAUAUUUAGCCUUUACGAUGAUGAGACUGAGACUAGGGGAAUGGAUGGCACUGAGCAAGUAUAGUCGGAGUGAGCAAGAUAAGGAGGAAGGGAGCGAGAGAGUUACAGAGGGAGUCGAUGAGAGCAGUGAGUGAAUCAGAGGAGGAGACUUUAGAGGGGUUGAGUGGAAAAAUAGCACAUGGAACCGGUGGAAAAAGGAGAGAGUGAGAGAAGGGGAGGUAGGGAGUAGAAAGACAAGGCUGGAGAUGGAUGCAUGACUUGCAGAGUGAAAAGGUUUUGACUGCACAGAGGAUGAGAGAGUGAGUGAUUCAACGAGAAAGAGAUGAGCUGAUGAGGAGAGGAGAGGAGAGAAGGAGGGCGGUGCGGGGAAAGAUGACAUGCAGCCUAGACAGAUGAUGGGGGAACUAAGGAUAGAUUGGGAGUUGCAAAUAAACAAUUAAACAUCCUGAAAAGACAAGUGGUUGCAUUCACCAAGGAAUCUUUUCAUGAAUGAGCUGGUAUCCUGCUAUGACUUCAGGGUUUAAAAAAAAAUAUCAACUUUAUUGUAUCGAUUGUUUGUGUGAUUGUGUUUAUAAUAUGUAAAUUAUAUUAUAUCACCUUACUAAAUAAACUUGUAUACUGUGUAGAAUACUUAAAGAGCAAACGUAUCACUUGUCAGCAUUCUCUCUCUCUCUCUCAAUUCAUUUCAGUUCAAUUCAAAGGGCUUUAUUGGCAUGGAAGACAUAUGCUUACAUUACCAAAGCAAUAGGCUCAAUAUAUUAUACCGCCUCCAACGUUCUAAUUUACUUCUGACCGGGUUGAUGACUUCCGGACUAAUUCUGCUAUUGUUUUUAUCAUUAGCUUACUAGCUAUUGUCGAUGCAUUUCUGACUGAAAUAGUUCGCAAUGACUACGUUUAAAUUACAGCCCCGCGAAGGAGGUGCUAAUGAACAUUGUUCAGUGCCUCUGUGUUCAGUUUCUUCCAAAUCUAAUUGUAUUGGGAGCUUCCAUCCUUUCCCGGUCGAUGUAACGUAGAGCUCAGAAAAAGGUGGUUGGUGGCAGUACGUCAUGACAACUAAACACACAAAGGUGUGUAGUACACAUUUUGUCGAAAGUGACUUUGUGGAGGGAAAAAUUGGGGGGCGACAAUACCUAAAAAGAGGUGUUGUUCCUACUGUCUUCGCAUGGAACUGGCACAUUCAAAAGAGACCUGGUGUUUGGGAAAGAAGACUGAAACGUCCUGCUCCGAAUGAGGGGGAUGAAGAACAAGGUGCGCUGCCUAUGAACUGUGCCGUCUCUGAUGCGGCCCAGACCCACGAUUACUGUGCAGUCCCUGAACCCGCAGCCCUGGACAUGGCCCUAAUGGCAAACCAUGAGCACGUAAGAGAAAUUGAGGAGCUUCGAGCCAAGCUGGAGAAACUGACCACCCAACACGGCUUUGGUCUACAGCGAUUUGCUGGUUCUGACGGGGAUAUAUGUUUUUACACAAGGUACAGUAAUGAUUUAUUAUUAUCCAGCAUGACUAUUGUUUAUUAUUUACUAUGAAUUAUUAGUAUUAUUAUCCCAAAGUCCAUCUUACCUUUAAUUAAGUACAUGUUCAUUGUUAUUUGAAACUAGGCUAGCAUAUUUUAGCCUAAACAGGCACAUUGAAUGUAUAUUGUCUUCACAUUAGUUUUCAGUUAACCCCCAAAAAUGCUCCCAGGUCGUUGCUUCAAAUAAGAUUUGGUUUUUAGUCCACUUUCCAGGUUAAAUAACAGAACAUUUAAAACAAAUUCACUGCUGUGAUGAUAGCUGCUGUGAAUUACAGUACGAAUUGCAGUAACAAGAAAAACAGGCUACAAUAGCAGCUAGGUCAUGUCUAAUGCUACGUGAUGCUUAGAGAAGAUGGGCAAUAACAGUAAUGAGCUUUUUUGGUAUUCAAAUACUCUGGGUCCAUCUUCAGAUUUGCAAACUACACCCACCUGAUGGCCUUCUGGCACUUGAUUGAGCGGGCAGCAGAGACCAAGAGACCAAGUUAAUAAGAGUCACACGCACCAAUCCAUCUGAAACAAGUGUUGCUGGAAGAAAACCAACACUGCCAUCAAUCGACAUGUUCUUCUUGUUUAUGACUCAUCUGUCGCUGGGUCUGAAGCAGAAGGAUUUAGCCCAUCGGUUCAGCAUCCACCAAUCGAAAGUGAGCCGGAUUAUCAUCUCUUGGGCCAACUUCCUCUACUGUCUGCUUGGAUCAGCACGGAUAUAUGGAUCCACAAGGAAACCAUCAACGCCCACCUGCCACCUGAGUUCAAGGACUAUCCAGACACCCAGGUAGUGAUCGACUGCACUGAACUCUGCUGCCAGACACCAUCGUCACUACUACUGCAGAGUGAGGUGUUUUCUUCCUACAAGACACACUGUACCUUUAAGGGCAUGUUGGGAACGUCACCACAUGGAGCUGUCACUGUUGUGUCAUCGUUGUAUGCUGGAUCUGUGAGUGACAAGGAGAUCUUCAAGCAGUCUGGAAUUAUUUCCUUACUCACCCCUGACAUGGCCAUUAUGGUGGAUAAGGGCUUUCUCAUAGAUGACAUUGUUCCGUGCAAGGUCUACCGGCCAGCCUUUCUGCCAAGACGCACACAGAUCCCAGGGCAUGAGGUUAGGGAGACCCAAUCCAUUUCCAGGCUGAGAGUGCAUGUUGAAAGAAUGAGCCGCAGAGUAGAGGAGCAUAAUCUGUUUGACACAGUCAUCCCCUUGACCAUCUCAGGCAGCAUCAACCAGUUAUUUGCAGUGGCGUGCCUGUUGGUCAACUAUCAAAACGGACCUUUGGUCAGAGCAUGGGCCAAACCAGUGUAAAUGUACAUGUGUUUAUUUGCUAGCAGCAAAAUAAUAAUUUGUUUAUAUAUGACAUGUAGUGAAUAUCAGUUUGUGUGGAGCUUGUAUUGGCUUUAAUUAGGCAAUGAGUAACAGGGGUGGGGGAAAGAAAUCAAGUAAACACAGAAUAGCCAGAAUGCAAGAUUGAAUGCAAUGUUAGAGAUGUGUAAUUGAUUAACCUGUCUAGGAUCAGC
Molecule: long non-coding RNA, 6191 nt
Organism: Salvelinus fontinalis (brook trout)
Lineage: Eukaryota; Metazoa; Chordata; Actinopteri; Salmoniformes; Salmonidae
Exons: 3
Source: RefSeq, a predicted model, not a curated record